GACGAACGCUUGCGGCGUGCUUAACACAUGCAAGUCGAACGGAAAGGCCCUGCUUUUGUGGGGUGCUCGAGUGGCGAACGGGUGAGUAACACGUGAGUAACCUGCCCUUGACUUUGGGAUAACUUCAGGAAACUGGGGCUAAUACCGGAUAGGAGCUCCUGCUGCAUGGUGGGGGUUGGAAAGUUUCGGCGGUUGGGGAUGGACUCGCGGCUUAUCAGCUUGUUGGUGGGGUAGUGGCUUACCAAGGCUUUGACGGGUAGCCGGCCUGAGAGGGUGACCGGCCACAUUGGGACUGAGAUACGGCCCAGACUCCUACGGGAGGCAGCAGUGGGGAAUAUUGCACAAUGGGCGGAAGCCUGAUGCAGCAACGCCGCGUGCGGGAUGACGGCCUUCGGGUUGUAAACCGCUUUCGCCUGUGACGAAGCGUGAGUGACGGUAAUGGGUAAAGAAGCACCGGCUAACUACGUGCCAGCAGCCGCGGUGAUACGUAGGGUGCGAGCGUUGUCCGGAUUUAUUGGGCGUAAAGGGCUCGUAGGUGGUUGAUCGCGUCGGAAGUGUAAUCUUGGGGCUUAACCCUGAGCGUGCUUUCGAUACGGGUUGACUUGAGGAAGGUAGGGGAGAAUGGAAUUCCUGGUGGAGCGGUGGAAUGCGCAGAUAUCAGGAGGAACACCAGUGGCGAAGGCGGUUCUCUGGGCCUUUCCUGACGCUGAGGAGCGAAAGCGUGGGAGCGAACAGGCUUAGAUACCCUGGUAGUCCACGCUGUAAACGGUGGGUACUAGGUGUGGGGUCCAUUCCACGGGUUCCGUGCCGUAGCUAACGCUUUAAGUACCCCGCCUGGGGAGUACGGCCGCAAGGCUAAAACUCAAAGGAAUUGACGGGGCCCCGCACAAGCGGCGGAGCAUGCGGAUUAAUUCGAUGCAACGCGUAGAACCUUACCUGGGUUUGACAUGGAUCGGGAGUGCUCAGAGAUGGGUGUGCCUCUUUUGGGGUCGGUUCACAGGUGGUGCAUGGCUGUCAUCAGCUCGUGUCGUGAGAUGUUGGGUUAAGUCCCGCAACGAGCGCAACCCUUGUUCACUGUUGCCAGCACGUUAUGGUGGGGACUCAGUGGAGACCGCCGGGGUCAACUCGGAGGAAGGUGGGGAUGACGUCAAGUCAUCAUGCCCCUUAUGUCCAGGGCUUCACGCAUGCUACAAUGGCUGGUACAGAGAGUGGCGAGCCUGUGAGGGUGAGCGAAUCUCGGAAAGCCGGUCUCAGUUCGGAUUGGGGUCUGCAACUCGACCUCAUGAAGUCGGAGUCGCUAGUAAUCGCAGAUCAGCAACGCUGCGGUGAAUACGUUCCCGGGGCU
This 1345-nucleotide ribosomal RNA is filed under the name uncultured bacterium. Its description in RNAcentral is "partial 16S ribosomal RNA". It matches the Rfam family "Bacterial small subunit ribosomal RNA", at positions 28 to 1381 of the family's 1533-position model. The record is from RNAcentral.